This 93-nucleotide transfer RNA is filed under the name Virgibacillus halodenitrificans. Its description in RNAcentral is "tRNA-Ser". It matches the Rfam family "tRNA". Rfam says of the family: Transfer RNA (tRNA) molecules are approximately 80 nucleotides in length. The record is from RNAcentral. RNAcentral also lists the same sequence under 1 other name. Lineage: Bacteria; Bacillati; Bacillota; Bacilli; Caryophanales; Bacillaceae.
GGAGGUAUACCCAAGUCUGGUUGAAGGGAUCGGUCUUGAAAACCGACAGGCGGGUCAAACCGCGCGGGGGUUCGAAUCCCUCUACCUCCUCCA